UCUGCUGCUCACUCUUUGAAGCAAUCACAUGGUUCCUUCCGGGACAAGUCACUUGAAACAAUUCGUUUGCUUUGCUAACCACUAAAGAGUAAAAGCUAAAUACCCCAAAGCAAGGGCAAAACGACUUCAGAAUUUUUCUCUAUAGUUCACAAAGACAUAAAAUGGUAAUAGGUUAGCUAUUGCAAUGGAAAGCAAAAAAUUGUCAAAAGCAGAGUUAUAAUGAGAAAUUUGUGAAGUUCUAACUUGUAAUUCACAAUAGCAAAUCCAAUGGGAAAACAAAAUGUCGCUUUUCAGUCUUAUAAAGUGAUCAGAUCUUGGUAAAAAGAUUUUGUGAGGUCUAGUUCAGUUACCACAAGUGGAAUGAAGCAAAUCUAUGGG
Long non-coding RNA from Quercus robur (English oak), 378 nucleotides. RefSeq lists it as uncharacterized. NCBI's taxonomy places the organism in Eukaryota, Viridiplantae, Streptophyta, Magnoliopsida, Fagales, Fagaceae. The transcript has 2 exons. The record is from RefSeq and is a predicted model, not a curated record.